Long non-coding RNA from Anolis carolinensis (green anole), 2332 nucleotides. NCBI's taxonomy places the organism in Eukaryota, Metazoa, Chordata, Lepidosauria, Squamata, Anolidae. The record is from Ensembl.
AAUUAAUUGUGCCAGUGGAAAAACUUCAGGGGCUCCGUUCUCCCUUAUGAAAUUCGCUACAGUGGUGGAACACAUUUACUACUAUUAGUCCAUCAAGUUUCAGAACGUAUCAUUUAUCCACAGAUUUUGGAGGAAUUUUCAAAGUUUUUACAAACAUCAUUUUUUUAAAAAAAAACACAAGUGCGAUCUUUUUGAAUUUUCUAUGCAAUGCCACAAGAUAAUAAGGGAUCAUUUCCCCAACUUUCAUCUGUUUUUUGGAAAUUUUUAAAAAGUUUUGAUAAAACUUUUUUUUAAAAAGCCACAACAACUAUCCCAUUGAAUGGUGCUCUCUAUAUGACACACAAAACAACACAAUCAACCAUAGAACUUCAAAACUUAGGAAUUUCCUCCCAAUCCAGCACAGAUUUACUUGCUAAUAUCAUGCAGUCCUUUUUGCUGAUUCAAUAAUGAUCAAUAAUAAUUCAAUAAUGGAACUCCGGCUGCUGCUAGGGAGGGAUAAAUCUCUCCCCUAUCCUAAUUGGAGCUUUUUGAUGCUGAGCAGAAUUCUGAAAAAUGUAGUUUAGGGCAUGGCCUUUUAAAUUUUCUGCCACAGGGGUCCUCGCCUUCCCAAACUACAUUUCCCAGAAUUCUGUGCUACCUCAGUCUCCUUUCCAGCUAUCUCAGCUCUUCUGGCCCAGCUGCUUGCCUGUCUCUUAAUUUAAAGAGGAAUGGGGCCUCUUUGGCUUCGCUUUCCUUGUUUUCACUGAAAAUGAAACUGAAUUUGGGAGGCUUCUGAGGAUUACAGAAUCUAAACAAAAAGUAUGGGGUCAAGCAUGCCCAGUGUAGUCCUACUUUCAGUAUUCUGACAGAGGUGGAGAUUAGGAGGGUAGAAAGAACCACAACAGAAGCAAGGGUGCCAUGAUUUUAAAAGCUGAUGGAGUCACUUUGCCUGAUAGAUUAUUAAAGAAGCAAAAAGAAAAGUUCUUUGCGGAAAAGAAACUGUGCAAGAACCUUUUCCCAAAAGCAUUACUACAAAUAGAUAUCAGAUCCAGAUACUCAUCUACUGUAUGUCUUGAUGGGAGGUCAGACCAAAACCGUGCCACAGAGCAGAAAACGCAACCUGCAUGCAGUACAAUAUUCAGCAAAGUAGCUGUCUUCUGCCUAAACCAGUGAUGGGCAACCUUUUGAGCCUGGUGUGUCAAAAUUCGCCAAAACACCAAACAUAACUUGGGCGACAUGUCACUUUGAGAAAAAAAAUAUGAUUUUGCAAUAUUUAUAGUUUAAAUAACAAAAAUGCGUAAUUGUAAUAUAUAACUGUAUUUAAUGAACCAAAAACUAAUUAUUUAACUUAUCUGUUUAGCGAUUACUUUGUUCAUCUGUCAGUCAAUUUCUUUUGUUGCUCUUGAUAUUAUUUAACUUGUGUGGGGUGCCGUGAACUAAGUGAGGAGGAGAGGGAAUUCGUUAACUAACCUGCCUAUUAGUGACUUUUCAAUGCUUAGGUCACUGAAUGUUUGUAUAACAACCUUACAUAUUUCGCUUCCUGAUGUACUUGUUGGCACUGAUACUAACUUUAUCAACUCUUCUCUCAUUGUGAGACCAUCAGAAUAUCGACCAAUAAUGGCCAACUGAGCAUGUGAUGUGACAUUAGUAGUUUCAUCAUGAGAGAUUAAAAAAUAUUUACAAUUACUUAUGCCUCUCUUUAAUUGAUGUUGUAUUUGUGUUCAGUCUCCUUAUUCGGUCCUUUAUGAUAUUUCUACUGAGUGGUAACUCAGAUAUUCUCUUAAUCAUUGCAUCUUUAUUCUGCAUAUCCCGAAAUAGAACUGGUUCACAUCUUUCUUUAAUAAAUUUUCUCACUGAGUGCUUUUCCAUGCUGAGCUAUGGAGUGAGCAGUUCUCAAACUUGCACAUGUUAAGUCUGAGUGGAAUGGGAGGAGAUUUUUUUUCCCAACCUCCCCCCUCCACACACCCCAAAAAAACCAUUAAGAAAUCUCUUUAUUUUAUAAACAUGUAAUAUAUAUACACACACACACAUACAUACAUACACACACAGUAUAUAUAUCUAAAUUGAUAUUGUACAGUACAAUGCAAUAUAGCACAACAAUUCUAUUAUAUUACCCCGAAGAUUACUUUAAAUGAGUUGCCACUUCCAGAAGUUCGUAGAAGAAGCAAUUCACUCCCUCUCCCCUAUAAAAUGGCAUUCUGAGAUGUGAGUUGGGCUGCAAAUAUAGCCUUGGGGUCAUAAUGUGGUUCUAUGGAUGCGCUUUGCUCACCCUUGUGUCAUUUUUAAGAACCUAAUUAAAAUAAUAAUCUAAAAAGGGAUCUUAUUGAAUGCAAAUGGGACCCUUAUCUGUUUU